UAGGGAAUAUUGGUCAAUGGAUGCAAGUCUGAACCAGCCAUGCCGCGUGCAGGAAGAAGGCCUUCUGGGUUGUAAACUGCUUUUGCCAGGGGAUAAAAUGGGAGUGCGCUCCUAAUUGAAGGUACCUGGUGAAUAAGCCACGGCUAACUACGUGCCAGCAGCCGCGGUAAUACGUAGGUGGCAAGCGUUGUCCGGAUUUAUUGGGUUUAAAGGGUGCGUAGGCGGCCCUGUAAGUCAGUGGUGAAAUACUCCAGCUUAACUGGAGGGGUGCCAUUGAUACUGCAGGGCUUGAGUGGAGUCGAGGUAGGCGGAAUUGACGGUGUAGCGGUGAAAUGCUUAGAUAUCGUCAAGAACACCGAUAGUGUAGACAGCUUACUAGGCUUCAACUGACGCUGAGGCA
This 400-nucleotide ribosomal RNA is filed under the name uncultured bacterium. RNAcentral describes it as "bacterial SSU rRNA". It matches the Rfam family "Bacterial small subunit ribosomal RNA", at positions 355 to 753 of the family's 1533-position model. The record is from RNAcentral.